This 9665-nucleotide long non-coding RNA is filed under the name Homo sapiens (human). Its description in RNAcentral is "non-protein coding lnc-KHDRBS3-4:14". Lineage: Eukaryota; Metazoa; Chordata; Mammalia; Primates; Hominidae. The record is from RNAcentral.
ACUCUCGGGGCGCGCGCGCCCAGAGCGCUGGGGUUUGGGAGGUAAUUUGGACCUCCGCCUGCCUCCCUUCCCUCGCUGCCUCCCGGAAUUUGACCAAUCCCGUGAGGAGGAGCCGUGGGCGGGGCGGGCUCGGCUCCCGGAGUGGCGUGAAAAAUUUCCCGAGGCAGAGCGAAAAGUCUUCAUGCGUUACUGAGCAUGUCCGGUGCCCGAAGGGGCGCUUUGGACGCCAGUGAAGCGAGGAGAGGCGGAGAAGGAACCGAGCGGGCAGUUGAGGGAAAUCUCGGAGGAGGUUACCUGCGAUCAAACUGGGGCUGCGUAGUGUUAGGGUCAGGCAGCUUUGAAGUGGAAUCCGGAUCCGCCACUCUCGCUGCGUGAUAUUGGGCAUGCCAUCAAAGCGCUCUCAACCGAACGUCUCGGGUAAAAUGGGAUUAGUGAAGUCUACCAAGGUAGUUGUGAGGAUCAAAAGAGAUAACGCGGAAAACGCCUCACCUGGCACGUUAUAGAUCCUAAAUGCCUAGCUAUUAUUAUGGAGCCCACAACCUCCAUAUUUUACAACUGGGAACACGGGACUCAAAGAGAUUAAAAAACUAAAUGACUCACUCAAGGUCAGGUAGUGGUGGAGACCCAGGCUUCAAGUUCAAUACUCUUUGUCCUACAAAGCCUUCCCUUAAGCAGGGGUAAUAAAACAUUUCAGAAAAACCACCUUAAAGAGCAUCGCUUGUGAUCUGUGGAUCACUUGGUAGUCCCCACCUCCCUCCCAUCCCCGCAAAGGUUUAGAGCUGGACAUAAGGGCCUUGGUGCAACUUUUGGAGGGCAGUUGUUCAGCUUCUGAAUUUGCAUCUGAACGAGCAAUAAGGUGGGGUGCUUUCCUCAAUUCCCUUGGGGCCCCUACAUUUUGGUUAAGGUGUAAACAGCAAGGAGCUCCAGGUCCUCCACGUCUCUAACUAGCUGAAGAAAGAUUAACUCAAUUAACCAGCAUUUACCCAGCAUCCAUCAAGUAGUAAGGUUUUCCCAGCAGGCAAGGAGCCUGUGACCUCAGGGCUGUGCAGGCAGGCACCUUGGGAUUCAGACACACUUAGACUUCCAGCCCAUUCCUCUAAUUUAGCUCUUAAUCACUUACUGCCAGGCAGUAUUUCUUGAAUGUUGUAGUACUAUGUAAUUUUAGCUAUGCUGUUAACUUUUUAAAAAAGGAUGUGUCUGUCUCCCUGUCUUGUAGCCCCAAACGUAUACUUGAUCUUGGUAAAGGAUGUCACCCAGUAUCUUAAAUAAGCCCUGAAGUUUCCCAUGUCCCAGGAAUUAUUCACUUGACCCUCCCAAGUUAAAUGCAGUGUCUUCCAAAAAAUCUUGGUGGUCUACUUCUUUGGAAUACAUUAGUAUCUUUUCUACAGCAUUUGGCAGCUACCUUGCUUUAAACACUGUUCUCUAGUUUUGUGUUCUACUAUUUAUGCAUAUUAUCACCUACAAAAAGUUUCUCUAACAUUCAUGUAUGAGUUGGCUGUUCAUAUGGAUCAAUAUAUCACUUAUUACCCAAUCCUUUAAGGCUUGAUUUAUUUUCCUUUCCCUUCAGAUUGUAAAACUCUUGAAUGGCAGGAACCCUGUCUAGUUCCACAUCGAAUUUCCAGCCUGUUCCUCAGUAACAGCACCACUCAACAACUAGCUAUUGAAUGGCUGAGUGAGCUCCCUGCCUAUCUUAUAAAAUUAUUAGGGGCAUACUUUAUUUUUAUAUUUAUAUCUCAAUACCAGGAAUUUUCUGGGAAGUUAAGAAUUUCCAAUAAAUCUUGGACUACUCUAAAAUGCACCAGAAAUUACGUGGUCACACUCGUGCAGUGAAAGAAGGCUUUGGCAGUAGCAUAAGACAUUAAGCAGAAGUAGGAAAUGCAGUGAGGAAGAAGUUGUAAUGUUUUCAACAGCUGCCACUAUGGAUCUAGGAUGAGAGCUUUCCACAUGUUGUUAAGAAUGAGAGACAGAUUACUCCAAGGUAGUAACUCCGGAACAAUGAAGGAGGAAGAAUGAAUGAGUUGCGCCCUGAAGAUGGUGGGCUCUCCUUUAUGCAUGAUCAUCACGAUCUCUCUGCAAUGUCUGUCCUGUGACCUCGUGAGGUGUGCAGCGUCAUGCCAGACAUCUGUGUUUGGAUGGCCCUCUGGCUCCUCCACAAUUACUGCAGAGUCAGAAGUGGAAUUUCCGCCUGAUGUUUUAUGUCAAAAUCAGUAUGAAAGACUGCAGCAUGCUGAGUGAGCUUUCCGUUCUCGCUGAGAUGCAAUGCAGGGUCCACCCUCUGCAGGCCACAAUUUUGCCUGGAGGCAAAGCAUUCAGUCUUUCCAUUGGCCUGACAAUUUGAGCCAAGCUUUGAGGCCAACAGACAAAAUGCACUAGCAACUGGAGAGGUCCAGAAUCAAGUCCUAAUCAAAGAACGUUUCCAGUCUCGGUGGAAGGUAGUCUGCAACUUCUGCCCAAGGGACUUUCAGAAUUGCCAUGGACAGGGCCUGCCUGGUGGCCCUCCCUGUGAGAAGGUAUUCUUCCUGCUCCAUUGACAUCAGGCUUAUUAGCCAUGUUUCUGGAUUUGGUCCAUUUCAUCAUAAAGAGAACAUGGAGCAGGGCUGCAGCUGAUCUUCAAAGGGCAUGAACACAAGCCAGAGAGAAGCCGUUAUUGUUGUAAGCCCUGAAGAUUUGGGGGAUAUUAUUGCAACACAACUCAGCCCAAGCUGACUAAUACAACAAGUUUCUAUGUAUACAUGGAAAUGUAUGUAAUCUUAGCCUCAAAAAAAAAAAAAAGAAAAAAAGAGUAUCUGAAAAUCCCAGGAUACUCGGGGCUCAUGGUGCGUAGUCAAUGAAAUGAUUAGCUCUCUUUCUUCAUCCUUCCCUCUCCAAUCUUUUCUUUUCAUUCUCCUUCAUCUCAUUCUCCUUCUCUCUGUGAUUUACAAAGCUGGUCAUGGAAAAAAAAACAUAGGAGUCAGAAGGCUUCGAUUCUAGGUUCAUAUGUAUGAGAUUUUUUGGAAAAAACUCAUACUCUCAAGGAGUCUCAGUUUCCUCAUCUUCAAGUGGGGAUAAUAACACCCUCUUUACCUAUUCUGCUGGGUUCUUUUGUAGAUCACAUGAAAGAGAGGUUAUGGAAAUCCUUUAUAUAUGUUUUGAAAAUUCUAUCCAGUUGCUGUGGCCUGAAUGUUUGUGUUCUUCAAAAUUUAUAUGUUGAAACCUAAUCACUGAUGUGAUGGUGUUUGAAGGUAAGGCUGUUAGAAGGUGAUUGGCACAAACCCCUCAUAAGAGAAGCCCCAAAGAGAGCUAGCUUGCCUGUUUCACCAUGUGAGGACAUGGUGAGAAGAAGCCAUGUAAGAAUCAGGAAACAGGUCCUCACCAGGCAUGGAAUAUGUCAGCACCUUGAUCUCGGACUUACCAGCCUCCAAACUAGUGACAAAUAAAUUACUAUUCACUAGCUGCCCAAUUAAUGGUAUUUUAUUAUGAUAGACUGAACUGACUAGGACACUAGUUAUAUGAUGAAAAUACCCUACUACUAUUACUACUGCUAGUACUUCCUGUAUUUGCUCAUAUUUUUGGAGGUCUUAUUAUGUUCCAAGUAUGGUUCUAAGUGCUUUUCAUCAGUAACUCUUGUAAGAGCCUAUUUUUAAUUCAGCAAAGGCAACAAAAUACUUUCCCUGGUUUAGUGAGGAGUAUUAACUAAUUGGGGGUAUAAACAUAACAUGGUUUCGUUUUUUCAAUAGUUGCUACUACUCUUGUUCUCCAUAGCAACUUUGGUUUCAAUUCCAUAACUUUCCUGUUGUUUCUGGUCAAAGGAACAGUUGCCUCUAGUUCCUCUGUCUAUUUUAAUAUUUUGACCCUCUCCAUUCCUGUCAGGACAGGUGGAACUCGUGGCAUAGGAAGUUCAAGUGGCAGAGGGGGCCCAGUCUGUACUUGUCUCUACUCCCCCAGAGGAGGAAAGAAAGCAAGACAGAUGCUCCCUCACGUGGAUGUCCAUGGUAUAGUUGCUGUCCUCCCCUUGGGUGGCCAUGACUGCUAUUCCUGUCCACUGAGCUUCAUGAGGGUUGGGGUGCCUCCCUCACCAGGAUCAGACUCUGGGGUCCCCCAGCAGGAGGUACCGUGUGUAUUCCUCUGUGGGCCUUGUAUGGUCCUCCUUCCCCUUCUGCUGCGUGGGUCCCUAGGGAUGCCAUUGCUCCAAAAAUACUUGCUUUCCCAAGCUCUUCAACUCCAGGGCUCAAAAUCCCCUGGGGAUCCCCUUCCUGUAGGUCUUGAGAAUUGCAACUUGGGGGCAGUCCUGACCUGGUCAUCAUCCUCCUCACCACCUCACUGUGCCAUCUCCUCACCUCAUUCUCUAACCCCCAAAAGAUGACCACUGAUGACCAGUCUCCAGGUCAGUGGAGAACGUGUGUGGAGAAGUGCAGGAGGGGUGACAAAGCAUCCCCAAACCUUACAAGUUAUUUCCUUGAUUUUGGAGAAGAAAUCCACUGGGUAGUGCCCACCACCCCCUCACACAGCUCCAGCUAGAAGUAACGAUUUACUCCCUCCCUACACUCCUCUUAUUUUGUCUUUGAGGGUGGGGGUGCUGGUUUUGCUGAAAUGACUCUGCUCAGUCAGGCUUUUGAGAGUGGGAGGGCAGGGGGCAAAGGCAGAAAGGGAAGCAACCAGGCCUUUCUCUGCCUGUUCUCUGAACUCAGAGCAUGGGGUACUAAGGACCUGGGUUCUCUGCUGUGGGCCCAAAGAGGAAACAACAAGAUCCACUUGGUACCUAAUACCCUGUCACACAGAGGUACAACAUCUCCAGCUUGAGGUGGUGUCCUGUGAGUGAUAGCAGCUCCAGGAUGGUGCAUUUACCACUGAGGAAAAGUAGAAUGAGCCCCAGCGUUGGGGGAGCGAUCUGGGAACUGCCCUCCUAUUUGCUCCCACAAUAUCCUGCAGGUUCUAUGAUACAGGUAGUUAGAGCUACUCACUAGGCUGCCUGUCUUCCCCUCCACUGCAGGACAUGCCUGUAUUUUGUCCUCAUCUGUUGCUGUAGUUUGGAUGUGUUAUUUUUUUUUCCUUUGCAUGAGUUUCCAUGCAGAACACAUGUUGGAAUUUAACUGCCAAUGUAAUGGGUGUUGGGAGGUGGGGCCUUUAUCCAAACUUUAAUUAGGUCAUUAAGAUGAUUAGUGUCCUUCUCUGGAGAGACUGGAUUAGGUCUCUUGGGAAUGAAUUAGUUCUCGUGAAAGCUGGUUGUUAUAAAGUGAGGCUGCCUCUCGUGUUUGGUGUCUUUGUACGCUUCUGCUUCCCCUUCCUUCUGCUUUCCACCGGGAGUCAAAGCAGCACCAAGUCCUCACCAGAUGGGCUGCUGGAUCUUGUACUUCCCAGCCUGCAUGACUGUAAGCUCCAUAAACCUCUUUUUAUUCCUUGUAAAUUACCCGGUCUUAGGUAUUCAACAGAAUUGAAUUGCUUAGGUAGCAACACAAAACAGAUGAAGACAUCUGUAUUCCCAGGACCUGGGACAGCACCUGGUAUAUGCAACCUACUCAGCAAAUGUUCUCUAGAAUCUUUAGAGAUUUGGGAAUAUGAAGGAAAAAAAAACUAGAAAAAUGGGGUGGCAGAUAUAUUCCAGAUAAAAAAUAUUUCAGGUGAAUUCUACAAAUCAGGGUGGGUUUCAGACAACUGUGAAUCAUGAGUAUACUUGUUGGGGGAAAAAUUCACAUAGCAAAGACAGCUACUUCUUGCGGUACCCACUGAGGGACUGGGGCAAGGGCAAUGAGAGGCAUAAGCUGACUACAGAUAGUUAACCCUGACAUUUUCAACUUUAAAACAGUUUCAUUUCCUGUUUGAAAACUUUGAGGGUCUUUUUCUGAACAACUUUUUUUUAUUAUACUUGAAGUUUUAGGGUACAUGUGCACAACGUGCAGGUUAGUUACAUAUGUAUACAUGUGCCACGUUGGUGUGCUGCACCCAUUAACUCGUCAUUUAACAUUAGGUAUAUCUCCUAAUGCUAUCCCUCCCCCCUCCCCCCACCCCACAACAGGCCCUGAUGUGUGAUGUUCCCCUUCCUGUGUCCAAGUGUUCUCAUUGUUCAAUUCCCACCUAUGAGUGAGAACAUGAGGUGUGUGGUUUUUUGUCCUUGCUAUAGUUUGCUGAGAAUGAUGGUUACAAUAGCAAAGACUUGGAACCAAGCCAAAUGUCCAACAAUGAUAGACUAGAUUAAGAAAAUGUGGCACAUAUACACCAUGGAAUACUAUGCAGCCAUAAAAAAUGAUGAGUUCAUGUCCUUUGUAGGGACAUGGAUGAAGCUGGAAAUUUUUUUGUAAUAGAAGGGGCAGACAUCAAUUUUGUAAAAAUUUCAAUCUCUAGGUUUUGUUUUUAGGAACAUUUCUCAGAGGUUUUUCAUCAUGGAUAUUUGAAAAUGCUGAUGUAAAGAGACACAUCUCAAUUUCAAUGCUGUCACAGCCAUAUUGUCCUUCUUUGGAGAGUCUUCGAACUAGAGUAAGCCAUGGAAGCUUGAUAAUAUACAAUGUGGUUGCCUAUGAUGACUCACUGACCUGUCCAGAUUUGUAAUCUGCACAUUUUAAUGUAAAUUGAGUGGUUGAUUUAAAGACAUAAAUUAUUUUAAAAACCAGUAGACUAUAUUACAACAACAACAACAACGACACCCUAGGAUUUCAGCAUUUUCAAACUUCAAAGAAUACUGAAAACUGGCUUAGACUCUUGUUCUGGGGAUGCUCAGCUAUGCAGAGGAGAUGCUGAGAUUUCUGGCAGCCAUCUUGUCUACUACAUAGUUAGACCUUAUAUGGAGAAUGAAGCCAAGGAAAACCAAGAAAGACACAAUCCUGAUAGAUGUCUAGGAGUCCCCAGACCCAAUGUAAAUGGAGCCAAAUUAAGACAAGCAGAGCAGAGAGAUCAGAGGGAGACAUCCCUGAUAAUUCCACUGGAAGUCCAAAUCCAGCCAUGCUUGAAGUUAUCGCAUCCCUGCUUUUCCCAUUUUCCCAGUUUUCUGAGAAAUAAAUUCCCCUUUCCUCUCUUGGUUCUGACUUUAACUAGUUUGAUUUCCGAUUUAAUCACCUGUAACUAAAAACAUUCUCUGUAAUAAACUGCAUCACGAGUUUAUUGGCAGGAUAAAUUGAGUUUAUAUACAUAAAGCAUUUCUUUGAGCAUAGUAAGUGUUCAAUAAAUAGACUUUAAAAAAUAAAAUCUAUUAUAAUCUGAGAGUAGCUCUUGUAACUAACAUAGGUCAGACAGCAAGUAAGAAGUAGCCAAGAUUUCACAGUUUAAAAGUUCAAUACUUAUAAUUUCAGCAAACAGAAAGGAUCUGGGGUGGAGCCAAUAUGAUGUGGUGGAUAGAACUUGGGUCAUAGAGUCAGAUAGACUCGAGUUUGAAGUCCAGCUCUGCCACUUUGCCAUCUGAAUGACAAUGAGAAAAUUGCAAGCAAUUCUGAGGCUUUGUUCCCUCAUCUUAUAAAAUGGGGAUAAUAGUGAUAGUGGCAGGAGGCAGUCAAAUGCCUAGGAAAAUAGGGCAGGUCCCUGGUGAAACUGGACCUUCAAACCAAAGAGAAUUUAAAGCCUGAAAGCCAAGCUACAAGUCUCAGAUAAAUCCACGGACUGGAUUGAGAUCCUCUCUUCCUAUUUGGUGUGCUUUCCUCUGGUUGAUCCCCACCCUUCACCUAUUUUACAUAUACCUACCCUUCCCUAAUUUGUUAUUUGCACUGUCAUGCCCAUCCUUGAGUGGUGCCUUUUUUCAGCCUUUUUUUGCAUACUCACAAACCAAUCAGCAUGCACUCCCACAUUCUGAGCUCAUAAAAACCCCAGACUCAACCACACUUGGAGGACCUCCUGCCUUCAGGUGGGUGAGACUCCCCAACUUUGGGUAGGGGGAGGCCAACUCAGGUUCCCCUCUCCGCUGAGAGCUGUUUCAUCACUCAAUAAAACUCUUCAUCUUGCUCACCCAACAGCUGUUAGCAUAACCUCAUUCUUCCUGGGUGUGGGACAAGAACUCAGGACCCACCAAAUGUUGAAUGUGAACAGAGCUGUAACCCUGUAGCACUCCCCUCCUGCUCACCAAGCAAUGGGAGAGGGAGCUGCUGGGUGCCACAUGCCCCAGUUUGUUGGGACAGGACUGAAAGAACUGUUAACAUGCUGUAAUACCCCCUUAGGGGCUUUGGGGUAGCUGGCAUCCGAGUUUUUCGGUUGCCACCAUGUUCCCUUCGUCCAUAUGCUGGUGCCAAAGGUGGGAGCAGGUCAAGACAUGCCUGGCCCAUCCACAGGCUGGAGUGCAGGCCAAACACAGCUGCUGGGCCAAGUGGUGGAGUACCUCUUGUGGUGAGCCCAGAGCCAAGCAUGGCACUGGGCAGGGGCAUCGCUGGCUGCAGAGGUCACCAACUGGUGAAGCGACACCCAAAAAAUCCUGCAUCAAUAGUACCUCCUUGUAAUAAUUAAAAUAAUCAAGAAUGUAGCAUUAUUCCUGGCAAAUAGACUUUCAGCAAAUGCUGGCUGCCUCCCUCCUCCAGUAUCUGCCACCUCUACAGGCUGGCCCCUUUUACAGGUUAGAAUUUUAUUUGUCAAAGCAAAGCACAAGGUUUACUGCCCCAAAGUAUCUUCCCUUAUGAUGCUUCUGAAGGUGUGGUAAGGCUGUUGAAGAGUUGUAAAGAGGGGUUUAUUGUUUUAUAUCCAAAGUGCUUUCUAAUGAAUAUUUUAUGAUUUUUCUCACUGUUUGAUAAUUUUGUAGGAUUCAAACAAGUGAGGAAACUUGAUUUGUUUUGGAGAAAAAAAGAGAGAGAAUCACUAUGACUAAUAACAGAGCCUAUCUGUUCUGGGUACCAGAGAUCCCCGGUUGGUGACCCCAUCCCUGACUGCAGCAUUAAGUCCUGAGUCAUCUAUCCCAAUCAGCUCGUAGCAGUCUUCUUAAUGUCUCCUAUUGUUUAAGCAUGGUCAUUUGCCUAAAUCGAUACAAUAAGACUAAAUUAAAGGAUAUAUACUUCAGUAAUUUACAUGCUUCAGGUAAAGAUUUCUCACCCUUGCUGACAUGAACAUGGAGCACAAAGCUUUUAAGACCACGGAUUUUUUAGCUGCUGUCUUGGCACUAUGAGGGGACCCAGCCUUAGGAUGAAGCCAGGUGCUGAGGACAGCAGAGCACAGGAAUGGAAAGAACUCACGUCUAUGAUAACAUCUUUGAACUGAUAAUUAUACUGCACCUGGAUGCCUCUUACCUCUGGACUUAAUGUUAUGUGAGGCAAUCGAUUUCCUUAUUCUUAUGAAAACCAGUUUCUGUGAAACUGAUCAGUAUCAAGCAUGAAGCAUGCUUCAUGAAGCAGCAUCAGACAGUAGAAAAUACCAGGGCAGCUGCAGGUCACAGCCCUGAAAUCUGGCCAUGGGGUUCAUAUCCUGCUUCCACUUGUGCUAGCUGUGUGGCCUUGGGGAACAUACUCAACCUCUGGCGGCUUCAGUUUCUGCAUCUGAAAAACAAUGAUAAUAAUAGAGUUCCUCACAGGAUAAAUGUGCGUAACACACAUAAUGUAGUGCCUGGCCCAUGGUAAGUCUCAAUAAAAUCUGACUUGUAAUUAUGGUUCCCUCUAGGUGUGAAGAUCAUCUCAGGAUCCACAGAUUGAUUUGAAAGUGGAUUCCCAGUCCUCUUCCUUUCUGUCAUUGACUCUGUGUCUCUUUAUUACUUUGGGUUUUUCUCACUUUUCCUUUCCUGAUCUUCCUCC